AGAACUCCAGGCUAGAAUCUGUCCACACAGGCUGGUUGAUGAUGGAAACUUCAGUGAUGUGGAGGGGUUGAAUGUUGCGGUGCCAGAGCCACAUAACAGUUUAUCCAGGGUGAUCUCUAGCACCCUAAAAAGCCAUUCUUUGUCCCGCUGUGUGUCAGAUUUAACACCCUGCUACCAGCCGGACCUAACAUCUGACAGUUCUGUGGAAAAUUGUUUUGUUUGCAAAACAAGGAACUGACAUGAAUUCUGAGACACUUUCUGAGGUCAUGAGUUCUGGAAACUUCUUUGCUGCAGGAGCUGCAGGUAUCAACAGGAACAUAAAGUUGGGAGCCAGCUGUGGGAAGAAACAGGGCCCCCUUCCAGGCCUGGCUGAACACUGAGUACAAACUGCUGAGAGAAAAAGCAAAACUAGGCAGAAUAAGGACAAAGGAGACAACAGGAGGAGACGGCUGAGAACUCUUCCUUUCUUGGGGAGUGAAACAGAGCCAGGGAGUGACGGAGGACACCGGCGUGGUUCCGAACACGGAGGAAACAGGGGAAGGUGCUCUGGAAAGCUAACGUGGCCACUUCAACCACAUCACCUCCUGACGACCAGGAAAGCCAUUUCACUGAAAUGAGCAGCAGGAAAGCAUUGAGUGAAAUCCUGUGAAUGUUGUUGUAAGAAGUCAUACACCACCACACUGGUCAGAAUCACUAGAAACAGAAGCAAAGCCAAGGCGUGUCUGUCCUGGGUCAUCUGUUCUGGUUGGAGGCCACACUCCUGACUACCUACAAUGAGUUAAACUAGUCUAACGCAAGCUAUGACGCUCACGGUGGGUGGCUUCUUCCUCCCACUCAGUCAACAACUUUCUGUUCAGUCCAAACUUCCUCCUAGUUGCCAUAGAUUUACAACUAGAGGUAUGUGCCAGACCACCCCAU
Peromyscus maniculatus bairdii (prairie deer mouse) is the source of this 918-nucleotide non-coding RNA. Lineage: Eukaryota; Metazoa; Chordata; Mammalia; Rodentia; Cricetidae. The record is from RefSeq and is a predicted model, not a curated record.